This 289-nucleotide long non-coding RNA is filed under the name Gossypium raimondii (Peruvian cotton). RNAcentral describes it as "long non-coding RNA (GRAI_LNC002668)". The record is from RNAcentral. Lineage: Eukaryota; Viridiplantae; Streptophyta; Magnoliopsida; Malvales; Malvaceae.
AGAUAAACGAACAAAGAAAACAAAAACAAACAAACAAUACAAAAAAUAAAACUAUCCAAAAACAAAUCCAAAAAGUUUUUAAUAGUUUACAUGUCGUAUAAAAAAUAAAUAAAAAUAAAUACUCUGACAUGUAAUUUAAUUGGAGUCAUCCGAAAUUAACUUUGGUUCCAUGGAUUGUUUCCCCUUCCCUCUUCUUCUUGAAGGUUCCUAACCCUUGUUUAAUCUUUCUCCUGGUUCUUCUAAAUUGAUCCCUCCUCUCAGUGUGGAUACGAAUAUUGUAUUCACCGCG